GAUGAACGCUGGCGGCGUGCCUAAUACAUGCAAGUCGAACGCACAGCGAAAGGUGCUUGCACCUUUCAAGUGAGUGGCGAACGGGUGAGUAACACGUGGACAACCUGCCUCAAGGCUGGGGAUAACAUUUGGAAACAGAUGCUAAUACCGAAUAAAACUCAGUGUCGCAUGACACAAAGUUAAAAGGCGCUUUGGCGUCACCUAGAGAUGGAUCCGCGGUGCAUUAGUUAGUUGGUGGGGUAAAGGCCUACCAAGACAAUGAUGCAUAGCCGACGUGAGAGACUGAUCUGCCACAGUGGGACUGAGACACGGCCAAAGCUCCUACAGGAGGCUGCAAUAGGGAAUCUUCCACAAUGGGCGAAAGCCUGAUGGAGCAACGCCGCGUGUGUGAUGAAGGCUUUCGGGUCGUAAAGCACUGUUGUAUGGGAAGAACAGCUAGAAUAGGGAAUGAUUUUAGUUUGACGGUACCAUACCAGAAAGGGACGGCUAAAUACGUGCCAGCCGCCGCAGUAA
Molecule: ribosomal RNA, 513 nt
Filed under: uncultured bacterium
Lineage: Bacteria
Description: partial 16S ribosomal RNA
Rfam family: Bacterial small subunit ribosomal RNA
Source: RNAcentral